GACGAACGCUGGCGGCGUGCCUAAUACAUGCAAGUAGAACGCUGAAGGAGGAGCUUGCUUCUCCGGAUGAGUUGCGAACGGGUGAGUAACGCGUAGGUAACCUGCCUGGUAGCGGGGGAUAACUAUUGGAAACGAUAGCUAAUACCGCAUAACAGUAGAUAUUGCAUGAUAUCUGCUUGAAAGGUGCAAUUGCAUCACUACCAGAUGGACCUGCGUUGUAUUAGCUAGUUGGUGAGGUAACGGCUCACCAAGGCGACGAUACAUAGCCGACCUGAGAGGGUGAUCGGCCACACUGGGACUGAGACACGGCCCAGACUCCUACGGGAGGCAGCAGUAGGGAAUCUUCGGCAAUGGACGGAAGUCUGACCGAGCAACGCCGCGUGAGUGAAGAAGGUUUUCGGAUCGUAAAGCUCUGUUGUAAGAGAAGAACGAGUGUGAGAGUGGAAAGUUCACACUGUGACGGUAUCUGACCAGAAAGGGACGGCUAACUACGUG
RNAcentral lists this ribosomal RNA (495 nucleotides) under uncultured bacterium. RNAcentral's name for it is "partial 16S ribosomal RNA". It matches the Rfam family "Bacterial small subunit ribosomal RNA", at positions 28 to 507 of the family's 1533-position model. The record is from RNAcentral.